UCCCUGGUGGGCUAGUGGUUAGGAUUUGGCGCUCUCACCUCCGCAGCCCGGGUUCGAUUCCCAGUCAGGGAA
RNAcentral lists this transfer RNA (72 nucleotides) under Erinaceus europaeus (western European hedgehog). It matches the Rfam family "tRNA". From Rfam's summary of the family: Transfer RNA (tRNA) molecules are approximately 80 nucleotides in length. Their secondary structure includes four short double-helical elements and three loops (D, anti-codon, and T loops). Further hydrogen bonds mediate the characteristic L-shaped molecular structure. tRNAs have two regions of fundamental functional importance: the anti-codon, which is responsible for specific mRNA codon recognition, and the 3' end, to which the tRNAs corresponding amino acid is attached (by aminoacyl-tRNA synthetases). tRNAs cope with the degeneracy of the genetic code in two manners: having more than one tRNA (with a specific anti-codon) for a particular amino acid; and 'wobble' base-pairing, i.e. permitting non-standard base-pairing at the 3rd anti-codon position. Lineage: Eukaryota; Metazoa; Chordata; Mammalia; Eulipotyphla; Erinaceidae. The record is from Rfam by way of RNAcentral.